RNAcentral lists this ribosomal RNA (490 nucleotides) under uncultured bacterium. RNAcentral's name for it is "partial 16S ribosomal RNA". It matches the Rfam family "Bacterial small subunit ribosomal RNA", at positions 30 to 507 of the family's 1533-position model. The record is from RNAcentral.
AUUGAACGCUGGCGGCAGGCCUAACGCAUGCAAGUCGAACGGUAACAGGAAGCAGCUUGCUGCUUUGCUGACGAGUGGCGGACGGGUGAGUAAUGUCUGGGAAACUGCCUGAUGGAGGGGGAUAACUACUGGAAACGGUAGCUAAUACCGCAUAACGUCGCAAGACCAAAGAGGGGGACCUUCGGGCCUCUUGCCAUCGGAUGUGCCCAGAUGGGAUUAGCUUGUUGGUGGGGUAACGGCUCACCAAGGCGACGAUCCCUAGCUGGUCUGAGAGGAUGACCAGCCACACUGGAACUGAGACACGGUCCAGACUCCUACGGGAGGCAGCAGUGGGGAAUAUUGCACAAUGGGCGCAAGCCUGAUGCAGCCAUGCCGCGUGUAUGAAGAAGGCCUUCGGGUUGUAAAGUACUUUCAGCGGGGAGGAAGGGAGUAAAGUUAAUACCUUUACUCAUUGACGUUACCCGCAGAAGAAGCACCGGCUAACUCCGUG